Melanotaenia boesemani (Boeseman's rainbowfish) is the source of this 310-nucleotide long non-coding RNA. RefSeq lists it as uncharacterized. The transcript has 3 exons. The record is from RefSeq and is a predicted model, not a curated record. NCBI's taxonomy places the organism in Eukaryota, Metazoa, Chordata, Actinopteri, Atheriniformes, Melanotaeniidae.
UUUUCUUUUGCUGAUGGAGAACAGAAUGGACUGGAUGAAGAAUACACAGAUGAUGGUAGCAAGAAGCAGUCCUACUAUAGCGUCUGGAGGGGAGAAAACAGAGACAAGGGAAAGAUGGUGUUACUAACAGAGAGCAUGGGCACUGGAAUGACUCCACAGACCAAACACCAGCUGAAACAAUGAGGCCAAGUCUCCACUAACACCGCUUUGUUUGUUCAGCAGUAACCAGAGACAGACUGACUGCAGUCAGCAAGCUGAAUCUGGACCAAUACUGAAGUUAGUUUGAUAUCUGUGCAUCCAUAGAAUCUAC